RNAcentral lists this long non-coding RNA (778 nucleotides) under Pan troglodytes (chimpanzee). Its description in RNAcentral is "lincRNA". Lineage: Eukaryota; Metazoa; Chordata; Mammalia; Primates; Hominidae. The record is from RNAcentral.
GGCACUACAAGUGACAUGCCAACGGGCAGGAUUAUCCUUUCUACUCUCCUACUUUCUGAACUACUUUUCUCCCUCUGUAAGUCUUAAAGAACUUCAAUGAGCUAUAAGUGAACUCAGGUAGACAACUCAACAAAAUCAAGAAGACAAUACAUGAACAAAAUGAUACUUUGAAUAAAUAAAUAUAAACCAUAAAAAACUUGAAUUAUUCAGUUCAGUCAUAAUACAUGACUUUAAACUUCAAAACAGUUUGUUAUAGUACAGCCAAAAUCAUUAAAAUUGGUCAGCUAUGAAGUAUAUAUUUUUUCUAGUUCUCUAAUGGAUAGUUGUACAUUAUAUUCACAACUUACAAAAUCUGUCCAGCAAGAUAACAGAUUAGAAGACACUUAACAUUGCUUCCCCCACAAAGGUAUAAGCAGUAACUAUUCAAAGACAAUAAAACUACCCAGAAGUUACUAGAACUUGAGAGAGAAGCAGAGGAACUGAUGGAGCCUGCAGAAAUGAGAGAAGCUGUGACUGAUAAAUGACGAUUUUAGAAUCUGCCACCCACUACCCCAAGCCACAUAACAGCUCACAGAAAAUUUCUAUACAUUUAGGAUGUCUGAGUUGGAAGAAAUUGGAAGUUGAAAAUAAACAUUCAAUUUCCCUAUCAGUUGAGGAGGCUUCAUGGGAAGUCUACAUGGGUCUCAUCCCAUGGAAAACACUGAGAGUUCCAGGAGGGCUGAAUGACCUGAGUGAACUGAAGAUAAAAUCAGGAGAGCUGAUUGCAGCAACUGUCCUG